RNA transcript from Carya illinoinensis, 3133 nucleotides. It is a transcript of the gene named probable pectin methyltransferase QUA2, with no coding region annotated. The transcript is spliced from 10 exons. The record is from RefSeq and is a predicted model, not a curated record. Lineage: Eukaryota; Viridiplantae; Streptophyta; Magnoliopsida; Fagales; Juglandaceae.
UUUAUCUCACAUUUAUUGUAGGGAUGCAUUUCAUAUAGUUUCUUUAUAAUUUUAGAAAAGAUUAUUUAAAUAAACAGAGAGUUUUCACGAGCUCUGUCAUGAUUGGAUCGGUACAAAGUCUGCUGCUCUCGCGCUGUGCUCUCUCUCCCUCUCUCCUCUUUCUUUUAAGCGUUCAGCACAGCAAAAGAUACUGCGUGAAACAGCCAAAGAAGACAGACAAUACAGGGGGUGUUUUGUGGCUUAACCAAACCCCCGUGAAUUCACGCUGAUUUUCAGGGAUUCUUGCUCCAUUUCUAUCUCUCUCCCUCUCCCUCUUGCUUUCUCUCCAGCUCUACUGCCCAUAGAAUAAGGUCAGAGGAUGUCCAGGCCUCUGCAUAGGGGUGCACGGAUCUCUGGGAGCAACGGGAGCAACAAUGAUUUGUGGGACUCUCAAAUGAAAGAGAAAACAGAAAAGGAAGAGCUGGAUAGAAGAGGUUCUGAUCAGAGUUAUUUUGCCCUGAGGUUUCCUUUUCGGUUACUUCUCCCAGAUAAUUCUACUCCUAAAAAUGGUAUCGCAGAAAAUGGUUUUGCAUCUGAUUCAUUGCUCGUUGGAAGUCCGAGAAUUAGGCAGAGAAUAACAAUGCUGAUUUUAAAGCUCAGUCUAGUAUUGAUUGUAAUUCUUGCUCUCACUGGAUCCUUUUGGUGGGCGAUUUCUAUUUCUACAACAUCGAGAGGUCACAUAUUCCGUGGUUAUAGGCGACUCCAAGAACAACUUGUUUUAGACUUGUGGGAUAUUGGGGAGCUUUCUCUGGGUUCCUCAAGGUUGAAAGAGUUGGAAUUCUGUCCUCAGGACUUUGAAAAUCAUGUUCCUUGCUUCAAUGUUUCGGCAAAUCUUGCUUUGGGAUAUUCUGAUGGCAGUGAAUAUGACAGGGUCUGUGGGCACGAGCCGAGGCAAAACUGUUUGGCUCUUGCACCUCUUAAUUAUAAAAUUCCUCUUCGGUGGCCUACUGGAAGAGAUGUCAUCUGGUUUGCAAAUGUCAAAAUUACUGCACAGGAGGUAAUGUCUUCCGGAAGUUUGACCAAGAGGAUGAUGAUGUUGGAUGAAGAGCAGAUCUCCUUCCGUUCAGCCUCUCUCAUGUUUGAUGGCAUUGAAGAUUACUCCCAUCAAAUUGCAGAAAUGAUUGGGCUGAGAAAUGAAUCUAACUUCAUUCAUGCCGGGGUUAGAACCAUCCUGGAUAUAGGAUGUGGUUAUGGUAGCUUUGGAGCACAUCUUUUUUCCAAUGAGCUCUUAACCAUGUGCAUUGCAAACUAUGAGGCUUUGGGCAGUCAAGUUCAACUGACUCUCGAAAGGGGUCUUCCUGCAAUGAUUGCUUCUUUUUCUUCAAAACAGUUACCAUAUCCAUCUCUCUCUUUUGAUAUGUUGCAUUGUGCACGAUGCGGCAUUGAUUGGGACCAAAAAGAUGGCAUUUACCUGAUUGAAGUUGAUAGAGUGUUAAAACCUGGUGGAUACUUUGUCUGGACAUCGCCGCUUACCAAUUUUCAAGGAGUACUCCGAACCAAAGAGCGUAAAAAAAUGGGGAAUUUUUUUCGUGAUUUUGCAGAUAAACUGUGCUGGGAGAUGUUGUCACAGCAAGAUGAAACUAUCGUAUGGAAAAAGACUAGUAAAAGGAAUUGUUACAAUUCGCGGAAACCUGGCUCAGGCCCUUCUUUAUGUAGCAAAAACCAUGAUGUUGAAUCCCCAUAUUAUCAACCACUUCAAGCCUGCAUAGCGGGAGCACAGAGCCGCCGAUGGAUUCCUAUUGAGGAGAGGACAAGCUGGCCAUCAAGAGCUAACUUGAACAAGAGUGAACUUGCUCUCUAUGGUCUGCACCCGGAAGAAGUUGCUGAUGAUACUGACAACUGGAAAGCGGCAGUCCGUAAUUAUUGGUCCCUUCUGUCACCAUUAAUAUUCUCUGAUCAUCCAAAGAGACCUGGUGAUGAGGAUCCCUCGCCACCAUAUAACAUGCUUAGAAAUGUGCUGGACAUGAAUGCUAAUUUUGGUGGUUUCAAUUCAGCGUUAUUGGAAGCCAGGAAGUCCGUGUGGGUCAUGAAUGUGGUCCCUACAAAUGGACCCAACUACCUUCCCUUGAUCAUGGAUAGGGGCUUUGUUGGUGUAUUACAUGAUUGGUGUGAAUCCUUUCCAACAUAUCCGAGAACUUAUGACUUGGUCCAUGCGGCAGGACUUCUAUCCCUUGAAAUUGGUCAGCAGCGCAGGUGCACCACACUUGAUCUUUUCUCUGAGAUUGAUCGACUACUUCGUCCAGAGGGUUGGGUGAUUUUCCGUGACACAGCUCCCCUCAUUGAAUCAGCAAGAGCUCUUACGUCAAGGCUGAAGUGGGAUGCACGAGUUGUAGAAAUGGAAAGUAACAGUGACGAGAGACUUCUUAUUUGCCAGAAACCUUUCUUCAAGAGGCAAGCAAUCCAAUCAUGAGUUUCAGAGGGGGAAGAAGAAGCUACAUUCGAAGAAGUAUUCUGUAUUUAUUUUCUGGGUGUUGAUUAAUCAUCAUAGAGCUCCACCAUGAAAGGGGGAUUGAUAAUUUUUGAGCAGAAGAAUCAAGAAAACAGAGUGAUAGAGAAACACGAGAAUCUUUGUGGAAUCAACCACAACAACUAUGGAGCCGUAAGGCUUUCAUAGGGCCAUUAAUACAAUGGCAAGUGGCAACAAGACGAGAUGCAUUGCACGUGUAAUGACUAUGAAGAGUCCAAAUGAGGUGAGAUGCGUUGCGUUUCAUUGUUUUGGUUAACCAAUUGCGAGGUCUUACUUGCUCUUCCUCCUAAUUUUUUACAAAAGUAGGAUAGAAAACGCUAUUUCUCAAAGAAAGAACUCAAGAAGUCCGUCCAAAAUACACCAAUUAAAGCGGGCAUGUGUUGCUACACAUACGCCGACGAUGCCACAAGAUUCAAAGCAGAUAGAGCCGAGAGAAGUUUUCUUGCAUUUUAUUCAUAACCAUGGAGAUGGCGAGUCUGAGCUGGUUGUGACGGGCGGAAGGAGAGAGCUUUUUCCAUCUAUUCUGGCACGCACGGCAUGGGUCAGUUCGGCUGUUCGGGGCUUAAUUUGGGAGUGUCGUAAAAUUAGUAUAGGAAAAUUCUUUUUAUCAUCCUCACACUUCACACA